GUAUAAGAGACAGCAGUCGCCGCGGGAAUACAGAGGGUGCGAGCGUUAAUCGGAUUUACUGGGCGUAAAGCGUGCGUAGGCGGCUAAUUGAGUCGGAUGUGAAAUCCCCGAGCUUAACUUGGGAAUUGCAUUCGAUACUGGUUAGCUAGAGUGUGGGAGAGGAUGGUAGAAUUCCAGGUGUAGCGGUGAAAUGCGUAGAGAUCUGGAGGAAUACCGAUGGCGAAGGCAGCCAUCUGGCCUAACACUGACGCUGAGGUACGAAAGCAUGGAGAGCAAACAGGAUUAGAUACCCCGGUAGUCCCUGUCUCUUAUAC
Molecule: ribosomal RNA, 314 nt
Filed under: uncultured bacterium
Lineage: Bacteria
Description: partial 16S ribosomal RNA
Rfam family: Bacterial small subunit ribosomal RNA
Source: RNAcentral